GGUUUCGUAGUGUAGUGGCCCAUCACGUUUCGUUUACACCGAAAAGGUCGCGAGUUCGAUCCUCGCCGAAACCU
This 74-nucleotide transfer RNA is filed under the name Sphaerulina populicola P02.02b. RNAcentral's name for it is "tRNA-Val (TAC) (tRNA-Val-TAC-2-1)". It matches the Rfam family "tRNA". From Rfam's summary of the family: Transfer RNA (tRNA) molecules are approximately 80 nucleotides in length. The record is from RNAcentral. Lineage: Eukaryota; Fungi; Ascomycota; Dothideomycetes; Mycosphaerellales; Mycosphaerellaceae.